This 377-nucleotide ribosomal RNA is filed under the name uncultured bacterium. RNAcentral's name for it is "bacterial SSU rRNA". It matches the Rfam family "Bacterial small subunit ribosomal RNA", at positions 523 to 898 of the family's 1533-position model. The record is from RNAcentral.
AAACGUAGGAGGCGAGCGUUAUCCGGAUUUACUGGGCGUAAAGGGCAAGUAGGCGGUGGCUCAAGUUGGGCGUGACAUCUCCCGGCUCAACUGGGAGGGGUCGUUCAAAACUGGGUCACUAGAGGGCAGGAGAGGGAAGCGGAAUUCCUAGUGUAGCGGUGGAAUGCUCAGAUAUUAGGAAGAACACCAGUGGCGAAGGCGGCUUCCUGGCCUGCACCUGACGCUGAGAGGCGAAAGCUAGGGGAGCGAACGGGCUUAGAUACCCCGGUAGUCCUAGCUGUAAACGUUGGAUACUGGGUAUUGGGGGUGACAAUGCCCUCAGUGCCGAAGCGAACGCGUUAAGUAUCCCGCCUGGGGACUACGGCCGCAAGGUUAAA